Molecule: ribosomal RNA, 429 nt
Filed under: uncultured bacterium
Lineage: Bacteria
Description: bacterial SSU rRNA
Rfam family: Bacterial small subunit ribosomal RNA
Source: RNAcentral
UGGGGAAUAUUGGACAAUGGGGGCAACCCUGAUCCAGCGAUGCCGCGUGUGUGAAGAAGGCCUUAGGGUUGUAAAGCACUUUAGGUGGGGAAGAAGUUAAGUCGUUGAAUAGACGAUUUGGUUGACGGUACCCGCAGAAUAAGCACCGGCUAACUCUGUGCCAGCAGCCGCGGUAAUACAGAGGGUGCAAGCGUUAAUCGGAGUUACUGGGCGUAAAGGGCGCGUAGGCGGUUGUUCAAGUGAGAUGUGAAAUCCCCGGGCUUAACCUGGGAACAGCAUUUUAGACUGAGUGACUGGAGUACAGUAGAGGGUGGUGGAAUUUCCGGUGUAGCGGUGAAAUGCGUAGAGAUCGGAAGGAACAUCAGUGGCGAAGGCGACCACCUGGACUGAAACUGACGCUGGGGCGCGAAAGCGUGGGGAGCAAACAGG